Molecule: ribosomal RNA, 484 nt
Filed under: uncultured bacterium
Lineage: Bacteria
Description: partial 16S ribosomal RNA
Rfam family: Bacterial small subunit ribosomal RNA
Source: RNAcentral
AUUGAACGCUGGCGGCAUGCUUUACACAUGCAAGUCGAACGGCAGCGCGGGCUUCGGCCUGGCGGCGAGUGGCGAACGGGUGAGUAAUACAUCGGAACGUGCCCAGUAGUGGGGGAUAGCUCGGCGAAAGCCGGAUUAAUACCGCAUACGACCUGAGGGUGAAAGCGGGGGAUCUUCGGACCUCGCGCUAUUGGAGCGGCCGAUGGCCGAUUAGCUAGUUGGUGGGGUAAAGGCCUACCAAGGCGACGAUCUGUAGCUGGUCUGAGAGGACGACCAGCCACACUGGGACUGAGACACGGCCCAGACUCCUACGGGAGGCAGCAGUGGGGAAUGGUGGACAAUGGGCGAAAGCCUGAUCCAGCAAUGCCGCGUGUGUGAUGAAGGCCUUCGGGUUGUAAAGCACUUUUGGCGGGAACGAAAAGGACUGUGCCAAUACCACGGUUCGAUGACGGUACCCGCAGAAUAAGCACCGGCUAACUACGUG